Long non-coding RNA from Amblyraja radiata (thorny skate), 77 nucleotides. RefSeq lists it as uncharacterized. Lineage: Eukaryota; Metazoa; Chordata; Chondrichthyes; Rajiformes; Rajidae. The transcript is spliced from 2 exons. The record is from RefSeq and is a predicted model, not a curated record.
GUGUGAGGUGGGAGGUUUAGUCGAGGCGAGGCGAGGGGUUUAGUCGAGGUGAAAAAUCAGAUUAAUUUCUAGGAAAA